AAGUCGUAACAAGGUUUCCGUAGGUGAACCUGCGGAAGGAUCAUUACUGAGCCUGGGUGCUUCGGCGCCCGACCUCCAACCCCUUGUCUACACACCACUGUUGCCUCGGCGCGUCUACUCUCGCCGGCAGCUUAACCGCUGUCUGCCUUUGGAGCCGCCGGUGGCCUACAACCAAAACUCUUGUUUUAAACCUAGAAUUCUGAGAAGAUAUUUAAUAACUUCAAAACUUUCAACAACGGAUCUCUUGGUUCUG
This 253-nucleotide unclassified non-coding RNA is filed under the name air metagenome. RNAcentral describes it as "partial contains small subunit ribosomal RNA, internal transcribed spacer 1, and 5.8S ribosomal RNA". The stretch from base 1 to 46 matches the Rfam family "Eukaryotic small subunit ribosomal RNA", at positions 1786 to 1831 of the family's 1831-position model. The record is from RNAcentral.